GAUGAACGCUAGCGAUAGGCCUAACACAUGCAAGUCGAGGGGCAGCACGGGAGCAAUCCUGGUGGCGACCGGCGCACGGGUGAGUAACACGUAUGCAACCUACCCAUAACUGGGGGAUAGCCCGUCGAAAGACGGAUUAAUACCGCAUAAAACAGGAGCUCCACAUGGAGAUAUUUGUUAAAGAUUUAUUGGUUAUGGAUGGGCAUGCGCAGGAUUAGGUAGUUGGUGAAGGUAACGGCUCACCAAGCCAUCGAUCCUUAGGGGAACUGAGAGGUUAAUCCCCCACACUGGUACUGAGACACGGACCAGACUCCUACGGGAGGCAGCAGUGAGGAAUAUUGGUCAAUGGACGAGAGUCUGAACCAGCCAAAUCGCGUGAAGGAAGACGGUAUUAUGUAUUGUAAACUUCUUUUGUAGGGGAAUAAAGUGCAUCACGUGUGGUGUUUUGUAUGUACCCUACGAAUAAG
RNAcentral lists this ribosomal RNA (467 nucleotides) under uncultured Bacteroidales bacterium. RNAcentral describes it as "bacterial SSU rRNA". It matches the Rfam family "Bacterial small subunit ribosomal RNA", at positions 28 to 490 of the family's 1533-position model. The record is from RNAcentral. Lineage: Bacteria; Pseudomonadati; Bacteroidota; Bacteroidia; Bacteroidales.